AUUGAACGCUGGCGGCAUGCCUUACACAUGCAAGUCGAACGGUAACAGGUUAAGCUGACGAGUGGCGAACGGGUGAGUAAUGUAUCGGAACGUGCCCAGUCGUGGGGGAUAACUGCUCGAAAGAGCAGCUAAUACCGCAUACGACCUGAGGGUGAAAGCGGGGGAUCGCAAGACCUCGCGCGAUUGGAGCGGCCGAUAUCAGAUUAGGUAGUUGGUGGGGUAAAGGCUCACCAAGCCAACGAUCUGUAGCUGGUCUGAGAGGACGACCAGCCACACUGGGACUGAGACACGGCCCAGACUCCUACGGGAGGCAGCAGUGGGGAAUUUUGGACAAUGGGCGCAAGCCUGAUCCAGCCAUGCCGCGUGCGGGAAGAAGGCCUUCGGGUUGUAAACCGCUUUUGUCAGGGAAGAAAAGGUUCUGGCUAAUACCUGGGACUCAUGACGGUACCUGAAGAAUAAGCACCGGCUAACUACGUGCCAGCAGCCGCGGUAAUACGUAG
Molecule: ribosomal RNA, 500 nt
Filed under: uncultured proteobacterium MT1
Lineage: Bacteria; Pseudomonadati; Pseudomonadota
Description: bacterial SSU rRNA
Rfam family: Bacterial small subunit ribosomal RNA
Source: RNAcentral